This 32185-nucleotide long non-coding RNA is filed under the name Prunus persica (peach). RNAcentral's name for it is "long non-coding RNA (PPER_LNC002777)". The record is from RNAcentral. Lineage: Eukaryota; Viridiplantae; Streptophyta; Magnoliopsida; Rosales; Rosaceae.
UGAUGAAGAAUUAAAGCUCCCUCAAAGAUCCAACUUGGCUGCAUUUGCCAAUGCCAAGCUUUGAGCUAAAUGUUAUUCCAAUUUUAUUAGCCCACACCCCGACAAUUUGUUGGUUUUGUUUUCACGUCUGUUGAAGUUUCCUUUUUGUUGUGGUAGUUCUUAUAAUUGUGGAGAGUUUGUUUGUUUGUUUAUUUAGUUUUGUUCAGUAAAGUUGUGUUCCUAAUUUAAAGUUUGAUACUAAUUUAAAACGACCUCCAAAAAUUGGGUAGUUUUAUUUUAUGUAGUUAACCUAAUAUAAUAUAUAGUAGGAAGAUGCUGCAAAACAAAUUGAAUUUCCAUACUCAUUCUUCAUGUCCUCCACCAGAAAAAGAAAAUGACACUCCUCCUUUAAAUGUGAUUUGGAAUAUAUCCAUCCAGUUUCUUCAAGCAAUUUGAAAUAAGUCAUGAGAGGUAUUCCAUAUUAAGGGCGUGAAAAUUUUAAGGCCCCGUUUGAUAAUCAUUUCAAUUUUAGUUUUUAGUUUUCAUUUUUCGUGCUAGAGUAUAGAGGAAAAUGAGAGUGAGAAUGAGAGUGAGGUUGAGAGAGGAGGGGAGGGAGAAGUAAUAAAAGUGAAAAUAAAAACUUGAAAGUGAAAACAAUUUCAAAUAGAAUUCAGUUUUCACUUUUGUUACUUCUCCCUCUCAUCUUCCCUCUCAAUCCCAUCUUCACACUUAUUUUCACUACCAUUAUCCCUCUUUUCUCUCCAUAUUCUAACACAAAAAUUGAAAACAAAAAUUUAAAAUUAAAAUGGUUAUCAAACAGAACCAUAAAAGGGGUUAAUUCGAUUUUAAGGCUAAAAGAAUGAAGUUUGAAUGGUAGAAAAAUAUUGUAGAUACACAAGCACAAAUUAGUGGGGGCCAAGCCCCAAAAGAAGAAACUAAAUAAUAAUGACUCUUCGUUACCCAAUAUGUGGAGGAGCAUCACUCAGGAAUCCCAAUCCAAAGUUUGGCUCUUCAUUAUAGUUUCCACAGAGUCAAUCGUGAUUCGUAAGCCUUUAAAAAAAAAAAUUUUUUUUUAAAAGCAAACAAAUUAGUUACAGUAUACGUAUAAUUUUCAUACGUUACUUAUAUAUGUGUCAUAAUGUGACUCAAGAAUGACUAUUUAAUAGCUAUGAUUUCAAUCAUAUUAUACAACACAAAAUUCUGCCUUAUCUAUUUAAUGAACAUUUGUUUGUGAGUCUUUAUAAAGACACCUACUUAAUGUAAUCAGCACUAAAACAGUGGCCUUAUAACUAAUUAACACAAUCUAGCUAGCUCGACCAGAAAGAGACAUUUAUAUCACGAUCCCAAGCAUGAAACAAGUUGCUCUUAUCAACUGACGCAUCCAUGUUUAGCCCAUCAAAUUAGACAAUUUGUCGGCAUGAAAGAGUUCCACACGAAAUUGUCGUUCCAGCUAAAAUCCAAGAAAUUGUCAUUAGUCUUAAUUGGCAUUAUAUAUAUAUUUUUUUCUUUUACCAAAGGGAGAGAGAGAAGGACAGAGGAGGCCUUGAGCAUAGGGGAUCAAGGCGGCUGCCUAGGGUCUCCAAAUUAGGAGGCUCCCAACCUCUAUAUAUGCAUACAUUUGGUACUUUAAAAAAAUUGUACUAUAUUAAUAUUAUGUUAGACCCAAGUAUUGUAAAAUAUAUAUAUAUAUCUCUAUUAUUCGCUGUAAAAUUAAAAUGAGAAAUUCAAUAAACGGCCCAUUAUUAUCUAAACUUAUAGCUUAAGUCAAUAAUGACAAAUUUUUAUAUAAAAAUGUUAACCUAGUUGAAUAAGGUAAGAAAUAAAAUACAAGGAUGAUUUAUUUAAAAGUUCCUAUAGCUAAGCAUAUAUACGUUACCUUUAUAUAUGUUACAGAAUGUGACUCAAGAAUGACUAUUUAAUAGCUAUGAUUUCAAUCAUAUCAUACAACACAAAAUUCUGCCUUAUCUAUUUAAUGAACAUUUGUUUGUGAGUCUUUAUAAAGACACCUAUUUAAUGUAAUCAGCACUAAAAUAGUGGCCUUAUAACUAAUUAACACAAUCUAGCUAGCUCGACCAGAAAGAGAUAUUUAUAUCACGAUCCCAAGCAUGAAACAAGUUGCUCUUAUCAACUGACGCAUCCAUGUUUAGCCCAUCAAAUUAGACAAUUUGUCGGCAUGAAAGAGUUCCACACAAAAUUGUCGUUCCAGCUAAAAUCCAUGAAAUUGUCAUUAGUCUUAAUUGGCAUUAUAUAUAUAUAUAUAUUUCUUUUACCAAAGGGAGAGAGAGAGAGAGAGGGACAGAGGAGGCCUUGAGCAUAGGCGAUCAAGGCAGCUGCCUAGGGUCUCCAAAUUAGGAGGCUCCCAACCUCUAUAUAUGCAUACAUUUGGUACUUUAAAAAAAUUGUACUAUAUUAAUAUUAUGUUAGACCCAAGUAUUGUAAAAAAAAUAUAUAUAUAUAUAUCCCUAUUAUUCGCUGUAAAAUUAAAAUGAGAAAUUCAAUAAACGGCCCAUUAUUAUCUAAACUUAUAGCUUAAGUCAAUAAUGACAAAUUUUAAUAUAAAAAAGUUAACCUAGUUGAAUAAGGUAAGAAAUAAAAUACAAGGAUGAUUUAUUUAAAAGUUCCUAUAGCUAAGCAUAUAUCACUUGAGUUGAGGUUUUGACAAAAGAAAAAAAAAACAAGCAAUUGAAGAAAGAUUGAAUGGCUUAGCUAUGUAAUCCAUUGAAAAAGACAUGGUAGAAAAUUUUGAUUAUGUAAAGUUAAUUGAUACUUUUACAUCCAAAAAUGCAAGAUGAGUGAUAUUUAAGUAAUGUUUUGAUGCAUUUUAUAAAAUUGUUAUGUGAUUACAUAUUGUUUGUUUAUUUUUCAGAUUACAAUUGUGACUUUGAGUUUGUAUAAUUUUUUUUUAAUAUUAUCGGAAAAAAAUCACAUAAACAUAUACAAAUAGUAGAAAGGCCACAUUUUGGUAAUUCAUUUUGGGCCUCUAAAACAUUAGGACCGCCGCUGGAGAGAGGGAGGGUUCUAUUUUCAUCAUAUAUUUUUGGACCAAAUUGAGGGCGAUGUAUAAUUCUUUUGCUUAUAGUUUUGGGUUUCCUCUGUUUGGUGCUGAUGAGGACCCAUGGGCCAUGUCCCUAUAAUUAUUAUGUUCUCAGUACAUGUAUACUGUGCCUCCUACUAGCUAGUCGAUGAUGAAAGAUCACCACCUUCUGCUGUUUAUAGCUAACUAGGACAUCAUCAAACGUAUGCUGCAUUCAUGGUAAGUAUAAGCUUUUGAGGUAAGAAACCUAACAACAGGCAAAACAUGCACACCUAUCUUGGGCUUGAAAUGUACUGAUCGUAGACUCCGAGGAGGGACUUAUUUUGGUCCCACAAUAUAUACUGCUAUAUAUUUAUACUUUCGUCUUUUUUCAGUUAUAAAAUGGAGUGUAAGUGGAUAAAAUUGGAGUGGGGAAAUCACCAUUCUUUAUAUAUAGUAUUAAUGUUAUACGAUAAGGUCCUCCUAUCACACAUGCUACUUUGUCCAAUUUUAUUUUUUUGGGGUCAAAGUUUGAAAUGGGAAGAUGGGAGGUGUUAUUGAGGUUUGAUUAUGAGACCAAUUUUAAAUCCGUUUAAUGUAUAUGGAAUAUAUGCAUGGAUUCUAGGGAUUUAUUAAUUAAUUAUAUAUUAUUCACUAUAGUGUGACGAAUAAUUUUUCAAUUAUGAAGACAACCCUUAUGUAGGGCCGGCCAUGGGCCUGGGAAAUUAGAGUUCAGCGCCGGCCCUCCAAAAAGAUAAUAGGUUCAUUAUUAAUUACAUGUUGUCAAUCAUAAAAUAGUUUGUAUUUGUUAUUUUAGUUUAAUUAAACUAUUAUAUUUUAGUAAAAAUGAAAAUACACGUGUAGAAUUUUUUUUUCUUGUUAAACUAUGAUUACAUACAAAGAGAAAUUAAGUGUCUUAUUUUAAUUUCUGGCCCUGAACCACUCAAAAGUCUAGAUUGACCUUGACCUUAUGGGACGAAAUUGAAAAAUGAGAAAACUCAACUCCUCAUUAAAGUUGGGCAGUUGACUAGUGGAUGUUAAAGUAGUAGUUUCUCAUGUAGCACGAAACGCCAUAAGAUUUUUCUUUGUUUUUUUGGUAUAAAUUGUGUUGAAGGUCAACAAAAAGAAAUCUCAUAUAAACAAAACUCAACACAAAUCUUCAAAUAAAAGAUAGCCCAUAAAAGCAGGGAAACCUCAUAAGAAAUUUUUUUUUUCCCAAGCAUUUAUUAUGUAUAGUACAUGUGUCAUUUCCAUAAGUCUUAACCCAAGUCAGAUGAGAUUAAUUAGCAUGGAUCCCCUUGUACUAUUCACCAAAAGAGAUUGCAUGCGAGUCCAACCAUAGAUUUUGUUAUUUUUUGGGACAUCAAUAAAAGAUUUUCCUUACAAAAAUCAAUGAAAUCAUAAAUCAUUUAACUAGGGUCGUUUUUGACUUUUGAGUGAUGCAUGGGCAAAAAUGAGGCCCUUUUCCCUUAAUUAUAGUUUAACAAGAAACAAAAUUUAUUUUGCACAUGUAUGCAUUUUCUUUUUGGCUUAAUUAUGGUAAUUCUAUCAAACUAAAAUAACAAAGAACAUGAAUCAUAAAACAUAAAAAGCUAAUAAUUUGUAUUUUUUUUAGUACAAGCGAUAGUUUUAACUACAUGAGAGGAAAUUUCUCACACACACAACCAAGAUGUCAUGGGAUUUAAACCUCAGACCUCUAGUCUGCAAGUCAAAAUCCUUUUUCAUAGAGUUAGACCCCAUUGGCAACCAUCAAUUUAUUGAGAACAAAAAAAAUUAUCAAACUAGAAGAACUAAACAUUUUCUUAAAGAGCAGACACGGGCGUAGCCAAGUUUGUUAGAACGAAUGUGCUCCCCACUCUGCACCCUAAUUCGAAUUCCCCUUUCGUAGUUUAGAUUAAUUUAAAGUAGAAUAUCGCUUAUAUAAAAUAAAUAAAUAAAAACAUUUUCUUGAAAGUGUUUGAUUAAUUGAAUCUUUAUUAUUACAAAACAAAAAAAUAAAAUUUUAAUGUUUAAUUGCAAAUGUAGGGCCCUUGUAUUGUUAAAUUUUUAAAAUGAUUGUUAUUUGGGCCCUUGUAUUUUAAAACUCUCAAGAAAAUCCAUUUAAUAUGGCCUUGAACAAUUAUAAUAUACAUAUAUAUAAGUGUUCCUCCGUUUUAUGUUCGUUCUUGUGAUGGUAGGGUAAAGUUUCUCAUUGCCUUGAAAACCAUUGACUGGUCAACAAGUCAACUUUCUUUAGUGUGCUAGCGUACCACUGCUAGCAAUGAGAAUUCUAGCAGAUUUCUUAAAAAUAGAUUACUUGCGCCAUAAGUUACUGAUUUCUAAACAAGCGAUUGUGAAUUUGGGUGAGGAAUAUCUCCCAAAUAAGUUUUUUUCUUGCCUCAGACUGGUGAGGACUUUCACAAUUUUUCUCAGUACAAAACUGGCAGUUCUGGCAAGAAUAAAUGAUAAGAUAACGAACUGUUUUUUAGGCAGAAGUGCCUUUUACAAAACUCAAAAGGAAAGACCAACUCUAGAAAGACAAAAAGAGGGAUGAACUUCCAUUUCUUCCUGGAUAGAUGCUUUUGAUCCGGGCUGGACUAGGUAUACCUAUGCUGGACUAGACUAUCAACACCUUCAACUGUCAAGUUUCAGCUGUAAAUCAAUAUCACUGUUCGAGUUUGGCAGAGCUUUAAUCUAUUUCAAGCCCUGGAAGGCUUUUUGAAUGGGCAGAAUUGGAACCUCUUCAGUCUGGAAGGGGCAGAAGUGGCUAGACUUGAUGAUUACUGAGUUGGAACUGCACUGUAGUACUUGUUCUACUUGAUCAGGGCUCUCCAUAAAUUUGUUGAGGUUUUCAUAUUUGUAAAACCCGAACUCUGCUUGAUUUGGCUUAUGCUGGACCAAAUUUGUAACCAGAGAAAACUCGUUUUGAAUGACUUAUUUCUCUAAGUCUGAACUAGAGUUGGAAAUUUGAUUUGUAGCUGGCUUCUUUCUUGUGGCUCAAUGAGCUUUUGGUUGCUUUAGUGUUUUGAAGGUUUUUGAGAUCAAGUGAUCAUUUUGAGUUUUUGCUUUGGAUUGAUUUUUUAGUUGUCCUUUGAUCUGUUCACCUCCUCUCAUAUUUAUAGAAAAUGCUAGAGUGGGAUUUUAAUAAAAAAAAAAUGGGCAGCAUAUUUUCUAAAAACGAGAUCUUUUCUUUUCAAAGCCAUAAAAGAAGGAAGUUAUUGUUCUGGCAGAGAAGAACUAUUAGUAGUCAGUUUUCAUGGAGGUCUUUUCCUUGCUUUUCUGAAAGAAAAACCAACUCUUCUUUGUUCUCUGUUUGUUCUUGGUAAGGAGAAAGAACACAAUCUGACGUGAUGGUCAUUUUGCUUUUCUUGUUUGAACAACUCUCUUGCUUACCACUUAUCUUUUGAGAUCGUAAUUUGCUUAUCUCUUGGAAAGAUCACCUGCUCUGAUGCAGAAUUAUAUACAAAAAGAUUCUGAUCUUAGGAUAUACGUAAUUUCACUGUUUUGUCACUCAAUAUUGUAUAUAACACGAACAACCUAUGCACGGUUUUGUCACUUUAUCUUAAAUUACAUCCAAACUCACCUUGUUAGCUCUAGAAUAUCAACUUGUUAGGUCUGGAAUAUCGAACCCUAAAAAAUACAUGAGCUGUUCUUAAUGAAUGCUUGAAAUUUUGAGUGUAUAUCUAUAUUUUUUUUAUCAACAAAAGAAGAAAUUUCCUUCAACAUAUAAGCACAACUUGUUAGCUCUUGAUCAUAUCAAUCCUCUAUUUUUUUUAUAAAAAAAAUAUUAACAAUAGAGAAAAAGAUUGAAACUCGAAACUCCAAAGUACCAAAACACCAAUGGUUUGUUUACUAAUUGUUCUCGCUAAAUCUAAACAGAUAGAAGUAAAGCUAAUUUACAAGCGAUGUGGAUGGUUUGGACCCAAGAAGCCUUCGGUCUGUGGUGUUCCUUCCUUAAGGCAUGAUGCUGGAUGCGGUCUGGGGAAAGGAACGGUAGGUUAAGUCUUAAGACACCGGUGUGGCACCGGCCGAAGACCCUCUGAUGCAAAGUUAGCGACCAAGAGCAAUUCUAUUGACAGUGUAAAAGCACAAGUCAAGUAAACAGUCUUACCUUUUAGAUGAGCCAGUGGGCUCUAUUUAUAGAGAGCAUUUAGGAUCCUCUUAGUACUUAGUUUUGAUGUGGGACUCGUGGGAGUGUCUUCGACGGUUGACACGUGCUCUGACAGGUUAUGGCGAGAGUUCCGAGGCAAUCUGUCAGAAUCGGCCUGAUUGGUCGAUCGGCAUGGGAUGCCGAAGAUUGGUGUAGGUGAGUCAGUCGUUAGCAUUUACUACUUUUAACGACCGUGUAUGAAUCGGUGAUGUGUGCCGAUUGACUGUUUCGGCAUGGCUCACCGAGUUGGUCUUUAGCUUCGUUCACAUUCCACGUGUCAUGACGUAAGUGGGGGGGUCAGAUAUGGUACAAACACUAAUCAAGAAUUAUAAUUCUCCUGAGGAAUUGAAUUCCACAUAGGGAGAAUUCAUGCGUUUAUUUCACAUCAAGAAAUUAAAAAGUAAGCGGGACCCACACAAAAUUAGGAAUUGAAUUCCUGAUUUUGGAGGAAUUCAAUUCUUGGGUGAGAUAUGGUAUUCUAAUUCCUGGAGAACUAACCCAUUAGGAAUUCAUCUUUUUUAUCCAUUAUAUCCUCACUUGAUUUUGAAAAUUACAAAUUUCUCAUCUACUUUAUCCCAACAACAAGGACAUUUUAGUAAUUAGUACCACUCCUAUCCCAAUUCUAUAUGGUUUAGUAAAUAACUUCGAUAGGAAUCCGAAAUCUAAUUCUCCUCAAUCCAUAUGAUUUAGUAAACAACUUCAAUAGGAAUCCAAAAUCUAAUUCUCUUCAAUUCAACUCCUCUUUAAUUCAAUUCAUACUGAAUUUAAUUACUCAUAAUCCGUACGGAUUAGUAAACUGCUACAAAUCUAAUUUUUGAGUAAUGAAUUUUUUUUUUUCUUUUUUGAAGGAAUAUUUGGGUAAGUAACCUAAAAACAAAAGUAUUGCAUAAGCAAAACCUUUCGAAGUAUAUAAAAAUGUGUGAUAUUUUGGGUAUUAUCAAACUUUGUGCAUGCACCCCAACCCUGCAAUUCGUGUGUUUCGCUUUCUUUAUGUGAAACGAUGCACCGACUCACUGCCAUGGCACAUGAGCACGUGACACCUUAAUCUCCAUUAUUCUUUCUCUCAACUUUCGUUACUUACUAAUUUUCUAUGUACAACUCUGCAAAGCGCGAGCCGAGCACCUUCUCAAAAUUUCCACAGGGCCAUCGUUUUCUAUGAAAGACAAUAUUACCCAUGCCAUGCAUGUCUCAUUCAUUCUACAAAUAUUCUUAAAACACUAUUAUUUGAGUUGGUUGCAACAUUCAUUUUGUCAAAAACUAGUUUGGAUUUUCUAGUACUUAAAUUGGAUUACAUUGUUAAUCAUAAUAAAAUUGGAUUACAUUUGAGUCGAGCUAAUUAAAAAAAUAAAAUUGUUGGAGUUUAUCGUUUGUGAAUUGAAGGACGCCAACUGGUCCGUAGCUCAGUAGUAAAAGCAUGUAGUGUUGAAGAAUAUAAGUUCCAUAUCGAAAACUUGACUAAAUAAAAUAAAAUAUAUAAUGAAUAGUUCCACUACUAAUAUUACCGAGGCCUUUUGUAAUAAAACUCCACACCUACUGGACUUUGUAGGUGGUUAAGUUGGGGACAAUAUCAGUGUUGUUAGUAGUGGGCUGCUGGCCCGUCUCUCUGAAUUAAACAUGGUGUCAGAGCGGGUUGAUUGACUGGGCCUAAAUUGGGCCUUCGCCCUUACCCAAUAUGGUGUUCAUAUGUUGGGCUUGAAUGUUUACCCCUAUCCCUUACCCAAUACGUGGUGUUCACGCGUUGGGCUUGAAUGAUUGACUCCGAUGUGAACUUGGCUCCACGUGUGGCUCACUAUGUAGUAGUCCCACGUGAGGGGGCGUGUUGAAGAAUAUAAGUCCCACAUUGGAAACUUGGCUAAAUAAAAUACAAUAUAUAAUGAAGGGUUCCACUACUAAUAUUACCGAGGCAUUUUGUAAUAAAACUCCACACAUACUGGACUUUGUAGGUAGUUAAGUUGGGGACAAUAUUAGUGUUGUUAGUAGUGGGCCGUUGACCGGUCUCUCUGACUUAAACGUGGUAUCAGAGCAUAUCUGAAUAUUUACCAUACUUUGUUUUACUUGGUAUCAGAGCCAGGUUUUCUUGUGACCUGUGCUUGUGGUAUCCAUGAAAUUAAAGUACUCUCCUCCCCUCCUCUUCAAGGAGGGAAGGGGGAGUGAAAGGGAUAUGUUUAUUGAUGUAUCCUAAUUACCUUGGCGUAUUCCCAUGAAGAUGUUGCUUAUUUCUUGCCUCCGACGACCCAUUCUCUUCAGAGGGAGAGGAGGAUUGAAGAGAAGUUGUGUCUGUGUAAAUUAGCUAAAGUUUAUAUGGAAGAAUUUAUUGUUGCCAUUGCCGUUACUGCCACUGUUGAUAUCGUCGUUGAUGUUACCAUUGCUACUAUUGUUGCCAUUGAUGUUGACUUUGUUUGCUUCAUUUUCCGUUGUUAUGGUCAUUGUCGAUGAUGUUGCUGUGUUUUGAUCUGUCUCUAUCCUAACCAUAAACACUACCUAUUUCCGCUGCACUAUACACCUAACCUAUAAUCCUAGCCCGCCGCCGCCGUCUACCUUGCUACUAUCUCCACUGCCUUACCUUCUGCCGUGUUCACAGGGUUUCUGUGUUCUGCCUUAUCUACUGCCGUGCUCAUAGAGCUUCUGUGUUCUGCUUUAACUAUUGUCGUGCUCACAUGAUUUCUAUGUUCUGCCUUACCUACUACCAUGCUUACAGGGUUUCUGUGUUCUGCUUUUAUGUGUUCUUCUGUGUGCCCUAUUUAUUAGGGUUUUUAUGACAAGGCCUUCUUUACAGUUGUUCAAUUGGUCAAUGUCGAGUACGGUGUUCUAUGACUCGCUUGUCAAGUUGGGCAUGCGAAAUAUCUUUGCCCCAACUUGAGGGGAAGUGUUGGCGAGUCAUUUCUUAGUUAGGAUUUUCGUUCCUUACUAUGUUAGGAUUUUGGUUACUUAUUCAUUUAUCUAGUCCUAUUAUCAUUGAGAUUUAUUUCUGUUUGGGCCAAAAUCCUGCGCACCCAGCCCAACACCAAAGAGCCCAGAAUAAAGCCACAUGACCCAAGCAGUAUGGGCUUUGCAAAAAUAAACGACGAAUCGAGGGCCCAAAAUCCAAAAAAGCCCAGCCCGUGAUCUGUCGAAACCACGACAAUAAACUUGGGCUUCGAAAAAGAAGAAAAGAAAGAAAUCAGCCCAUAGCUCAACUCAAAUUGGGCUUAAAGAGAAGAAAGGCCCAUGUCUUCUACAAAGUGGCAGAGUUGUAAAAAAACGUCAAAUCAAAUGGCAACUGACCACUAAAGCAGAUUAAUAAAAAUCUAAAGAUGAAUUGGUUUGGGCACAGCUUCUAAAUGCUCACCAUUGAUCUCAAAACCCAGAUUACAAAGUCAGCAGAUCUUUUUGAAAAACCUAUUCUCAAAACCCACGUGACUACUUGACUUUGAAAAGUCAACAAUUUCAACUAUCACAAAAAAGUUUAUUGAGAAUUAAUGAAAGCAGGUCAUUUGCAAAAAGACUUGUCUGAGAAUUUACAGCUAAAAGAUCAGAAUCCCUUUCUAAAUAAUUCUGCAUCAGAAUAGGUGGUCUUUCAAAGAGAUAAGCAGACUAUGUUUUCAAGAGAUAAGUAGAGGGAGUUGUUCAAAACAAGAAAAGCAAAUUGACCAUCAUGGCAGAUUGUUUUCUUUCUCUCUCUACAAGGAACAACGAGGAACAAAGAAAAGUUGGUUUUUCUUUAAGAAAAAAUAGGAAAAGACCUUCAUGAAAACUGAUUAUUGAUGGUACUUCUCUGCCAGAACAGAUAAUUUCCCGUUUUCUUUGAUAUUUAAUAAAUGAAAAGAUCUUGAUUUUUAGAGGAUCUGCCGCCCAUUAUUAAAAAAUUAGAAUUCCCACUCCAGCAUUUCCUAUAAAACUAAGAGAAGGUGAACAGAACAAGGGACAACCAAAAAAUCAAUCAAAGACAAAAACUCAAAAUGAUCACUUGAUCUCAAAGAACCUUAAAACAAACUGAAGCAACCAAAAGCUGAUCGAGCAACAAGAGAGAAGCCAACUACAAAUCAAAACUUCAAGUUUCAGACUUAGAGAAAUAAGUCAUUCAAAAUGAGAUUUCUCUCGUUAUAAAUUUGGUUCAGCAAAAGCCAGAUCAAGCAGAGUAUGAGUUUUUACAAAUAUGAAAACCUCAACAAAUUUAUGGAACUGAUCAAGCAGAACAGCCACCACAGUGCAGUUUCAGCUCAGUAAUCCUCAAGUCCAGCCAUUUCUGCCCCUUUCAGACUGAAGAGGCCUCAAUUCUACCCGUUCAAAAAGCCUUCCAGAGCUUGAAAUAGAUUAAAACUCUGCCAAACUCGAACGUUGGUAUCGAUUUACAGCUAAAGCAUAGCAGUUGAAGUUGUUGACACUCCAGUCCAGCCCAUCUCGGAUCAGAAGCAUAUAUCCAUGCAAAAAUAGAAGUCCAAUCUUCUUUUUAUUUUUCUAGAGUUGGGUUUUCCCUUUUGAGUUUUGUAAAAGGCAGUUUUGCCUAAAAACCAUUCGUUUUCUCAUAAUUUAUUCUGGCAGAACUACCAGUUUUAUACUGUGAAAAAUUGUAAAAUCAUCACCAGUCUGAGGCAAGAGAAGAACUUACUUGGGAGAUAUUUCUCACCAAAUUCACAAUCGCUUAUUUAGAAGUCAGUAACUUGGGGCGCAAGUUAUCUAUUUUUAAAAGUAUGUUAUAAUUUUCAUUGCUAACAGUUGCACGCUCACACACUAAAGAAAGUUGACUUGUUGACCUGUCAAUGGUUCUCAAGGCAAUGGAAAACUUUACCCUACCAUCACAGGAACAAACACAAAACGGGUGAACAAUUUCCUAUUGUAAUUUAUAUUUAUUUUCUAUUAUAAUUUGGAUUUAUUUCCUAUUUUAUUUAGGGUUGUACUUCUCUAUAAAUACCUCCAUAUUGGAGAGAAUAAAAUAUGAGUGAAUAUGAGCAUAUCCGAAUAUUUACCCUACUUUAUUUGACUUUUAAUUACAAAUUCGUGAUCUCAAAUUCGAACCUCGUUCACACUUCUCCUCUACCUUUCAAAUUUUGAACAAAUAAAAAGAAUUGAAGGGGCAAAUUUGAAGUUUUGAUCACCGUAGUCAUGAAGUUAGGUGAGGCAAGUAGCAAGAGGAGAGUGCUCAAAUGGUAUAAGCCAUUUGGAUACUCAUGACCGUACAAUAUUUAAUUAUGAUUAGACUAGGUGUUUUGUCCUUGCAAACUGACAUAACAACAAUAUCAUAUUGUCUUAAAAUAUUAAUCCAAAUCUAACCAUCAGUAUCCACCUUAUCACCUUUGACUGGUAAAGAUUCUGUGCCAUCCCAAUUGUUUUAGUUAUCUUUCAUCUUCGAUAUUCGAGAAUUAUCGAGCUCAAAUGGGUAACUGGGGCAAGAAAUAGGUUUUUUAUAGUUGGACUGAUGUGCAUCAACCUAGUCCUCUCAUUUCUUAACAAUUAAAUUUUAGAAUGUAAUAAUUGUUUAACAUAAUAUCUAUAUUUUCGUUUUAGAAGGUCCGAGUCGGAAUUUCCAAUUUAUAUUAACGUUAUGUUUGUUUAGCUUUUAAUACAAAUGAAAUAAAUAAUAUUUUAAAAUACAAAUGAUAAUUUAAAAGAAUUCGAAAUUGAAAUCUCUAAUAUGAAAGAAAGUCUUUUUUUUAUUCGACUAGAUCUGUUGACAUGAGAUGAAUGAUAUUAGCUAUGUAUAGCACGGUUAUUUAAAACUUUUUUAAAGUCCAAUGAUUAUUUAAGAAUUAAGAAAUACUUGCUAUGUACCACAAUUCAACAAGCAAGCGAUGAGGGGAGAAAAAAUAUUGGUGGGUUGUCCUUUUCAUGUCCAAAUGCACUGCUAACUGUCAAAGUCCAGCUUCAAGGCACAAUUAGGAAGCCAAAUGUUGGUGAAAAUGAAACUUUUCCCAAACACAAAGUUCAAUUAUACUAUUCAGCAUUCAAAAUUUACCGAUAUUUGCUGCUUAAUCAGUGGCUUAAAGUGGAAUUGCAUGGCAGCAAAACCAUUUAUGAUGUCUGUUCACCACUCAAAAAAAUUAACUUUUUGAAAUAUUUUUAGCAAAGGGUUUGUACUAAAUAAUUUUUCUUGCUUUUAUUUUUUGUUGUUGUUGUCUAUUGUGCAGUUAAUUUCAACACCACUGUUAAUGGUGCAAUCAUAGGCCUAUAAUUUUGACAUAAUACAAGGAAAGCAAGAUAUGAUGCUGAAAUGUAGUUGGCUAAAACAGCAUCAUCUAACAGUAAAAAGAUUAUUACGACCAAAGGCAAACCAAAACCCCCCCAAAAAAAAUAAAAAUUAAAGGAACACAAAAAUGGGUUGUUGGGGGAGCUCAGCAGUUUGACUGGCUCAUUCAUCCGGAGGGUUAAACAGCAUCAGCAUGCAUGGUAAAUAUUAUGCCAAAUUCAGCGGAAAAACUUGUAUGAAGGAGUUUUGCUAUUUUCGAUCAAUUACAGACUGUCAUAUAAAAAAAUAAUCACGUGUAACAUACUGUAAUUAGCCGCAAAUAUCAAAAUAGUUAUAUUUCCAUUUUAUGCAAGUGUAUCUCUAAAUUCAGACGGAAAAUCCAACACCUAAACUGCAAUGCUAAGAAAAGGGCAAAAUGGUAAUUCUAUUAUAAUCUCUUACUUUACUGUUCUGCUUUUGCAAGAGACAGAGAGCAAGGACAAAGGCUGACCCCACUGUUUAUAUUUUCCAAGGCUUAAAUACUUACAAGACCCAAAACCCCCCACUUUCCACUCUUCCGCUGCUUUUUUUUUUUUUUACCUCAUCUCUGUCAUGAAAUACCAAAACUGACUACUUGGGACAAACAAAACAAGAGUAGUAAAGAAAGACAAGGUUGCUAAACAAAAAUAAAAAAUAGAAAUCAAACACAGAGAGAGAGAGAGGAGAGAGAGAGAGAGAGAUGAAUAAAGGGUGUGCUUUGUGGUGGUUGAGCAAUGUGCAGGUGCCAAAGAAGAUAGAAAAUUUAAGCUUAGUUUGAAUGAGAAGUAAGCAGGCUAGCAGAGAUAGAUAAAUAAAUAGAAAGAAUGAAAGAGAAAAAAGAAGAAAGGGAGGUGGUGGUCUUAAAAUUGGACAAGUGAAAGAGGCAAAAAAAGAAAAUAAAAGUCAUAGAAAAGAGAAAGAGAUAGAGAUUGAGAUGGUGGGCUCAGGAGCAACAGAUAGGAGCAAAGAAGCUGUUGGGAUGAUGGCCCUCCAUGAGGCCCUCAGAAGCGUUUGUCUCAACACAGACUGGACUUACUCUGUCUUCUGGACCAUCCGUCCACGCCCGUAUGUCUCUCCUCUCUCUUUUCUCUUAAAGUUCUCUUCUUCUCUGUCUCUCUACACUUGAUCUGAUGUUUAGCUCUGGAUGCCUUGAUUUCUAGCUGUUUUCUUUUCUGGGUUUAAUUCAUUAAUUUGUUUUGUUGCAGGAGAGUCAGAGGAGGUAAUGGCUGCAAGGUUGGGGAUGACAAUGGCAGUUUGUAAGUAUAUAAUAUAUGGUUGCUUAUGUAAAAUGGGAAUAAACUUUAUUUGAACUACUAACCUCAACUUGGUUAGCUAUGCAAUUCAAUUUUGCUCUGUUUUCUCUCUGCUUCUCUAAGGAACAGGGUGAAAGCCAGAGGAGCUGACUAGGAAUCUUAUUUUUUUAUAUGAACAUGAGUUUUUAGAAAUGGGUUUUUGGUAAUUUUGUGAUUUUAGUGUUGUUUAUGAAAUUUGGUGAAGGAUGUUGAUGUGGGAAGAUGGGUUUUGUCGAGGAAGAGUUUCAUCAGAUUGUCUUGAAGAUAUUGACGGAGAAGAUCCUGUCAGGAAAGCCUUCAGCAAAAUGUCCAUUCAGCUGUAUAAUUAUGGAGAAGGGUGGGUACUUGGUAUGUGUUUUUUUGUUAUGGCUUCUUCUCCUCUCUCUCUCUCUCUCUCUCUCUCUACCUACACUACAUGACAAUCUUGCAGGACAUAAAAUAUGGUUUUUUUUUUUGGUUAUGGGAAAUAAGUUCUUCUUGUAUUUGUGCUGUCAUUGGUUGCACUGAAUUCAACACAGGUUGAUGGGGAAGGUUGCAUCUGAUAAGUGCCACAAAUGGGUUUUCAAAGAACCUACAGAGUGUGAACCAAACAUCUCCAACUACUGGCAAAGUUCUUUUGAUGCUGUAUGUAAUAAAAGCCAGUCUUUUUUCUCCCUUUCACCUAUAUAUUUGUCAAAGUAGACAAGCUGGAAUUAGCACAAGUUUGUGCUUAGCUAGCACAUAUUAAUGACUGAUAGUAACCUUUUUUAUGCUAUUUAUUGCAGCUUCCUCCUGAAUGGACUGAUCAGUUUGAGUCAGGCAUUCAGGUCAGAACAGAAACAUUUACUGCUUCAAUUAUUGGUCUCAUUAUUUUGGUGUAAUUUUUUUUUUGAACAGUUAAUUUAUUUUACCAGACAAUUGCUGUAAUUCAAGCUGGUCAUGGUCUUCUGCAGUUGGGCUCCUGCAAGAUUGUGAGAUAUAUAUAUAUAUAUAUAUAUCUUUUUUUUCUUUUCCCAUUAAUAUUUGCUUUAAUGCUGCAAAUUCACACUAACACAAGGACAUGCACAAUAUGUAUAUCAGAUACCAGAAGAUCUUCACUUUGUGCUAAGAAUGAGGCAUACCUUUGAGUCUCUAGGCUACCAAUCUGGUUUUUACCUCUCCCAACUAUUUUCCUCUACCAGAAACAACUCUGCCUCAUCAGUGCUUCCUUCAAAGCAGUCCCCAAUUCCGAUCCGGCCUCCUCCUCCUCUCUUCAAUUGGGCUCAAAGGCCUCUUCCAUCUGCAACAGCUAUGCAGCUGCCUUCACCCAACAGUUUUCAGAACUCUGCAGCCAGACUUGGAUACAAUCCACAAGCCAAUAAAGAUGAGACACACAUGUUUUUGCUGCCUCAUUCAGCCGAAACACAAAUGGGAGGAGACAUGAUGGGAGGAGGAGGAGGAGGAGGAGAGCAUGAAAAUGACAUCAAAUGGCCAAAUGGAUUGUCUUUCUUCAAUGCCCUCACGGGACGUUCCGAUGAUGCAAAGCUUUUGUUCAAUCCGGAGAACUUGGGAAACAAAGGUGGAGACGAAAAUCACCACCACAACCCGAAUCCAAACUCAGAUCGUGCUUCGAAUCACAACGAGUUUUUGAGCUUGGAUUGCCACCCGGAUAGUAGUGCAAGGAAGAACAUGGAGAACAAGUACAAGAGGAGCUUUACUUUGCCUGCAAGAAUGGCUUCAUCGUCUUCAAACUCAGUUGAUCACCAUCAGCACCAAUCUGUGGGGUAUCGAAAUGCCGAAGCUGGUAUGUACUCUGAUGUUAUGGAGACCUUCUUGGAGUGAAAUGGGAAGGGAAGAUUGUAUUAGAGGGACAAUGGGUGAGGAGUUGUAUGUAAGCAAAGCUUUUGAGCUCCUUUGCUGCUUAUUACUUCUGUGAUCGAUUUCAUGUUCUAGCUCUUUAUAUGUUUAUGUGUUUUCAUCCCAGUUAGUGAGACUUAAUUAGAGAUCAUUUUGUACUUGUAGUUCAUCCCAAGAAGAAUUUCCCUCCAUUCUUUUGUUCUUCUAACUCUCACUAAGGUCAUGGAAUGUAAAAUAGAAAAUAAACAUAGAAGAAAAUCAACACAAGUUGGUUCAAGUAAUCAAAGCUUGUCCAAUUCCAGCAGUAAUGGGCUUGAAGAAAUUCAUUAUGCCCAAAAUGCUCAAGAAAAUAAAACUAUUUGAAUACACAGUUACAAAUACACAUGAUCACUGGGAGUCUCACAUCCAUUGUUUAGCUUUAUUGCUGGGAGAUACAGUCUUCAUCACACUUUUUGGAAAUCCAAUUUUGCUACCGAUUCUCUAGGUAGGGUUAUCUAUAAUAAGGAGUUGGGCCUCUACAUUCGUAUUCAUACUUGAGUGUAGGGUGGCGUGUUUAUUGACCUAGUCAACUGACCGAACAUGUCUAGACCUAGAGUUGUUGAAGCAUUUAUAAAGGCUAAGAUACUGGGGGAAAACUAUCGCUCUAUUUGAAAUUGGAUUUCAAUAGAGUCGUUGACAGAGUCUGUUCUUGAUCCGAUACUUCUGUUGGGUUAGUUAUAACUUAUAACUGAGGCCAUAUGUAUUAUUAUUAUUUUUUAAAAAAAAUAGACACUUUUGUAUCUACUUUUCCAAAUUAACAAGCGAUCACGACAAGCCUUGGCUUUUAGAUAAAGAUUUGGUUGACUGAUCACUAUUCAGUCAACCAACUAGUUUAUGUUUCCAAAGGAUUUAUGGAAGAAUAUCAUUGCCAUAUCAACAGCUUCAACUUCAAGAUUAAACGCUCGCUCUGAAGAAUUUGAAACAAUAACCGAACACAUUGUGACAAAAGCUCUAUUUUAACAAGCCAAAUUGCUUUUGCUGGUUAACGUUCCCAGAAUAUAUAUAUAUAUAUAUAUAUAUUUCCUUUUGCUUUUCUUCAAAGUUGAAAGUGAUCAAAAGCCAAAGCCAAAGCUAAAGUAUAAAGUCAGUUAUCUACUUUCAAAGCAAACCUCAAAAUCCUAACCUCAAACCCAUGAACAAAUUACAAAACUUGAUAAACAAGUUUAAAAAAAUCAUUUUUCACUUCACAUUUAUCAAUUCGCAGCUUUAAUUAAUUACAUAAUCACUACUUUUGUUGGACGGUUCCAUUGCGUUACACUUUCUGCAGGUCCAAACAAGCCACCGGAAAAACCUCCGGCCAAAACUCCGGGGGACCACCACCGUCUUCACCCGGACUCUUCCCUUCCCUUUGAUGGGUUUCUCCUUCCCUUCAAGCUGAUCCACUUUCGCCUUCUUCCGAGAAUUGUCACCGCUUAAAGAAGCCGGUACAGGCACAGCUGUUAUGAAUUGCCAUCUCUGAGAAGAACCAUAAACUUGUCCACCUCCGAGAUUAUUAGCUCUGUUUCCUUUGUAUCUAUCUGAUCAAGCUCUAGAACCCAAUUUGUUUUGGUGCACCAAUUUCCUCUCAGAGUUGUCGCUUGAGCUUGUCCUUGCGCUGCUGCUGCAGCUGCUGCUCCUGCUGUUGGUGCUGUUGCUUCUUGAGGACAUGAGAGAGUCCUUGCUGCUAAUGCUGCUCAUCCGGCUUGUUCUCCGUAAAUUACUAUCGAAACCCAUAAAACCGUUGCUAAUUGGUUGACAUGGAAAGGCAUGUGGUAAGAGCCUGCCAUUGAAGAACAAAUGGUCUGCCGGGGAGUCUUUGCAGGGAUCAGUGCUGGAGGCUGAGUCAGGGGUAAAGCAUCCAAAUUCGAAAUCGGAGUCUUGCUAGUGGAUCGAAGUGCUUGGAAAGGAGAAUGUGUCGCCGGAGGUGCUCUUUUGCCGGCGGUUUUCCAUGGAUGGUUUUUUUAGGGAGAGAGAGGAGGUUGGUGUAUUUGCAUGGGGCAGGUUGUAUAUUUAUAAGAAGGUUUAAUUAGGGGUAGAAAAAAGUGAGGGAAAUUCGGGUUUCUUUUGAUAUGGGUGUGACACGUGGAAUGAUCUUGACCCUCUGUUGGGUGAGAUGGGCAAAGGUUUUGGUGGUGUGAAUGAUGAAGUCCUACUUGCCAACUCAGUAUUAAAUUCAAUACUUUUGGUGGUGUUAGGCCUCGACACUGUCCCAAUUGUUUGAUCAUUUUGGAGAGUUCGCUUGUUUAUUUAUUUUUAAUUCAGUGAAGUUGUGUUCUAUAGAAACAUAUUGUUGAUUACAUUGGGAGAAGGAAUUGUGUGGCUUUUUUAAUUUGUAUGUUUUUCUUGAAGUUGAGUUUUUACGUGAAAGAUUGUUAAGGUUGAGUAUUAAUUUGAAAUAAUCCCUAAAGAUGGAGUAUUAGAGAGAACUUUAUAGAAAUGUCCUACACAAGAAUGUCUAGGAGAAUUCAUCAAUUCAUUAGUUUAUCUUAUCUUUUUUUUCUUAAGUGAUACAUAAAUACUAUAUGUAUCAUCUCAACUUAUCAAUUACUUUUCCAUAUGACGUAUACAUCUCGCAUAUGUUCAAUCGAAAAUGGUACAAAUAGUUUCAUUCUACUUUCUUUUGUUAGACUCGGGAGUUUUCAUAUAAUUUCUUUCAAUACCAUCUUUUGUUAUUUAUUUAUAAAAACAAAACAGGUUUCAAUUCUGACUGGGAUUGCCAUGGGAAUUGGGGUUGGUAUUUCAGUACACGGAAAAUUUUGUGUAGCAACAAAGAAUUGGAUCUUUGCAACGCCAGAAAAUGGCCUGGGAUUUUUUACUAAUGUGGUGCUUCCUAUUUCUUGUCAAGACUUCCUGAAUUUUUUGGAGAGUAUUGUUGGAAGUUUGAAAGCAAAUGUCCCACAUUGGAGAAAACAAAAGGUUCCACGUAUGCUUUAUAAGCAUGAAACCGUAAUACCAAUUAAAUAAAGGUUGGUGGGCUGAUGGGCUUGGUAGUGAAGACUAUCAUGGUUAGCUUGCUUUAUUAAUACUAAUAUUUAAAUAAUCAAGACUUGGGCCUUGGGGUCUUGAGGUCUCUGAAAAAUAAAAGAACUAUACCCAGUCCGAAAAUAAAAUAAAUAUUUUUAUUUUUAUUUUUCAAAUUUCUUUUAGCAUAAGUUAAAUUCAAACCACAAAGACUAAUCUUUUUGUUUGAAUUUGAACAGGUAUAACUGAUACUAACUGCUCUUUUGAAGAGGUGUAAUUCUGUUAUAAAACCACAAGUCCUAGGGCAUAAUACGAUGAUCUUUUUUCUGAACUAUCUCAUACUAUUUUAAAAUUACCUACUGUAUUGGAGAGAAGCACACCAACGGUCGCCAAAAUUCAAGGAUCCGGUGCUGGACCCUUGAAUUAUAGAUAGUUGAAUCCUGGGAGAUAGACGCCUGCUGAACUUCAAGUACUGAGAAGAGGUGAAAUUCUGUCUUUAGGACAUUGCGAAUACGCAAGCUUCUAUCUUCAAUAAAAGUCAAUAUUCUGUACUUAAUUUAUAUUUGCACAUUUAUACAGAUUUCGUAUUUUGCUACUCUUUAUAUUUUAAGAGUUGUGUAAAUAUAUUUUUCCUAACAAGUAUUUGGGUCUCACAGACAGGUACCAGGUUGGAUGGUGCUGAAAUGCUUGCUUGUGGUAGCAACUCACUUUGUUCCCUCAGCCAAAUUGCCUCUACUGGAAAAAGCUCUGAUUUCCAGAGCAGCUUCAGCUACUUCCUCAAGCCUUGAUCUUGCUUUUAUUUCAGCAAUUAUAGAUGAACACUCCCUACAACAACCGGCCCUGAACUAGAAAAGUGCUCUUCACAAAAUGGAUGUUAUUGACAAGUGCUUUUCAUAAAAAAUGGAAAGUUAGGAGUAGGUUGUUCAUAAAAAAAAUAAAUAAAAAAGAAGUUUGCAGAAGGCUAAAAGACGAAAAUACUUUUCAUUUUAGAGAGAACUUAACAGAGAUUCCUACACAAGAAUGUCUAGGAGAAUUCAUCAAUUCAUUAGUUUGUCUUAUCUUCUUUUCCUUAAGUGUAUUGUUAGAUGAGCUAUGACAUAAUUAUCAUUAGUAGGCCUGAGUAGGCUAAAUUAAAAUUUUGAAUAAUAAAAUAACAACUCACCUAGGUUAUAGUCCAUGUUAGUCCCUUCUUGGGACCAUCCUUGCCUAUAUGUGGAGGAGGAUUAGUCCAAUCCCAAGUUCAGCUCUUCAUUAGUGGUCCAUUGUAAGUCUUUUCCUUUUGUAGGAACAAAAUAAAUAAAUAAAAAAUUACAGUUUGAUGUGUAGUAGAAUAUCGCAAUCUUAAGUUCAUCUCUUCAUUAUUCUCCUCUGGUCCAUUGUAAACCUUUUCUUUUCGUAUGAAAAAAAGCAAACAAAUCACAGUUUGAUGUGUUUGUAGAACAUCUCAAUCUUAAGUUCAUCUCUUCAUUAGUCUCCCCUGAUCCAUUGUAAACCUUUUCUUUUCGUAUGAAAAAACGCAAACAAAUCACAGUUUGAUGUGUUUGUAGAACAUCUCAAUCUUAAGUUCAUUUCUUCAUUAGUCUCCCUUGGUCCAUUGUAAACCUUUUCUUUUCGUAUGAAAAAAAGCAAACAAAUCACAGUUUUGAUGUGUUUGUAGAACAUCUCAAUCUUAAGUUCAACUAUUCAUUAGUCUCCCCUGGUCCAUUCUAAGCCUUCUCUUUUUGUAAGAAAAAAGAAAACAAAGAGUUCUUUCCUCUUAUGACCAAACCCCCGUUUAAAUUGUGCUUCAAGUUUAAAACACAAUUUAACCCCGUUUUGCUAUUUCUUUCUUUUCUUCACGUCUUUUCUAUGCCGCUUAUUUAUGGACGGAACACAAACAAAGGCAAGUGCGUGAACAAUUUUUUCUGCCAAGUCAAUUUAUGCAUUGAUGCUGGCCCAGCCUAGUACAAAGUUGUUCCUCCCCCCACCCACACCACAUGUGACAUGGGCUCAUACAAAGCAAAGUUGAUUACAACUAGGUUUUUGUUUCCAUUUUCAAUCAUUUAACAAUAUCUACACCGUCAAUUAAUUUUGGGCCGAAUUCUCAAAUUCUAUCAUAAUGUUUGUAUCAUUUUAAUUGUCAAUGUUUUAAAAAAUUCUGCCAAAAUAAAACAGUAAAAUAUUUUUCUGUUAUUUCUAUUGUAAGUUGAAAUGGUAUAAAUAGGUUUAUUUGUUUUCGAGGAAUCCGAUAAUAUAAUAUAUUGUAGGUCUAUAUCUUUCUUCUUCUUUUUUUUCUAAAAAGAAAAAAAGACAAAGACAGAAGCAUGCAAUAUGUAGAAGCUGUAAAUAGAAAAGAUAGUUUCGUGCUGGCACGAAACUAAGGGGCUCAUCCUUCUUUAAGUAGAAGGUAGGCCAGCUUUUUUUUUGAAAUAGCUUCCACAUAUUGCAUGCCCCAGUCACAGACUAGGUUAGGGCCAUCUGUAGUAAUAGUUUCAGCAAUAUCUGUACAGUCAAUUAAUUUUGGGUCGAAUUCUCAAAUUUCAUCAUAAUAUUUGUACUAUUUUAAUUAUCAAUAUUUUUUAAAAAUAAUAUGACAAAAUAAAAAGGUACAAAUAGUUUUAUGUUAUUUAUGUUGUACGUUGAAAUAGUAUGAGUAGUUUUAUUUGUUUUCGAGGAAAAUAUAUUGUGUCAAUUUUUUUUGGUUCGAAAAAGGGGAAAAAAAGAAGAUACGGACAUGCAAUAUGCAGAAACCAAAAGGCUGGCCUAACUUGUACUUAUAAAAAAGAUUGCCUUCCAAUUCCUCUACCUCUCAUCUUCUCAAUAAAAAGUUGCACCUAGGUUUCAAACUUUUAGUGCACUUAUCGACUUUAUUUCUAUACAAAUUGAUCAUUUCCAUGGCUUCUUUCCAACUUGAUGACCAGGUUCUGGUACAAGAGACUUUAUUCGUGAGGACAUUGAUCCUGAAUAGGCCUCGACACUGUCCCAAUUGUUUGAUCAUUUUGGAGAGUUUGUUUGUUUAUUUAUUUUUAAUUCAGUAAAGUUGUGUUCUAUAGAAACAGAUUGUUGAGUACACUGGGAGAAGGGAUUGUGUGGCUUUUAAUUUGUAUGUUUUUUCUGAAGUUGAGUUUCUACGUGCAAGAUUGUUAAGGUUGAGUAUUAAUUUGAAACGACCCCUAAAAAUGGAGUAUUAGAGAGAACUUUAUAGUUUGGGAUUUUUUCCUAAUGUGGGUGCUUCCUAUUUCUUGUCAAGACUUCCUGAAUUUUUUGGAGAGUAUUUGGGUCUCACAGGUGCCAGGUUGGAUGGUGCUAAAAUGCUUGCUUGUGGUUUAGCUACUCACUUUGUUCCCUCAGCCAAAUUGCCUCUACUGGAAAAAGCUCUGAUUUCCAGAGCAACUUCAGCUACUUCCUGAAGCUGUGAUCUUGCUUUUAUUUCAGCAAUUAUAGACGAACACUCCCUACAUCAACCGGCUCUGAACUAGAAAAGUGCUCUUCACAAAAUGGAUGUCAUUGACAAGUGCUUUUCAUUAAAAAUGGAAAGAUAGGAGUAGGUUGUUCAUAAAAAAUAAUAAUAAUAAAAUAAAUAUAAAUAAAAAGAAGUUCGCAGUGGGCUAAAAGACGGAAAUACUUUUCAUUUUAGAGAGAACUUUACAGAGAUGUCCUACGUAAGAAUGUCCAGGAGAAUUCAUCAAUUCAUUAGUUUGUCUUAUCUUCUUUUUCUUAAGGGUAUUGUUAAAUGAGCGAUGACAUAAUUAUCAUUAAUUGGCCUGAGUGGGCCAAUUAAAUUUUUGAAUAAUAAAAUAACAAUUCACAUAGGCUAUAGUCCAUGUUAGUCCCUUGUUGGGACCAUCCCUGCCUAUAUGUGGAGGAGGAUUAGUCCAAUCCUAAGUUCGGCUCUUCAUUAGUGGUCCAUUGCUUUUGUACGAAAAACACAAACAAAUGAACGUUUGACAUAUGUGUAAAACAUCUCAAUCUUAAGUUUAUAUCUUCAUUAGUCUCCCGUGGUCCAUUGUAAACCUUUUCCGUUCGUAUAAAAAAAAAGUAAACAAAUUUCAAUUUGAUGUGUAUGUAGAACAUCUCAAUCUCAAGUUCAGCUCUUCAUUGGUCUCCCUGGUUCAUUCUAAGCCUUUUCUUUUUGUAAGAACGAAGAAAACAAAUAGUUCUUUCCUCCGAUGACCAAACCCCGUUUAAAUUGUGCUUUAACCACGUUCUGCUAUUUCUUUCUUUUCUUCAAUUUACGGACAGAACACAAAGAAAGGCAAGUGUGUGAACAUUUUUUUUCUGCCAAAUCAAUUUAUGCAUUGAUGCUGGCUGGCCCAGCCUAGUAGUUGUUCCUCCCCCGACUCACACCCCAUGUGACAUGGGCUCAUACAAAGCAAAGUUGAUUACAACUUGUUAUAUUAACAACCAGGUUUUUGUUUCCAUUUUCAAUCAUUCAAUAUCUGUACUGUCAAUUAAUUUUGGUCAUCGAAUUCUCAAAUUCCAUCAUCAUAUUUGCACUAUUUUAGUUGUCAAUAUUUUUUAAAAAUAAUAAGACAAAAUAAACGGUACAAAUAGUUUUAUGUUAUUUAUGUUGUAAGUUGAAAUAGUAUGAAUAGUUUUAUUUGUUUUGGAGGAAUCCGAAAAUAUAUUGUGUCGGUUUUUUUUUGGUUCGAAAAAGUUAAAAAAUAAAAGACAUAGACAUGCAAUAUGCGGAAACCAAAUGGCUGGCCUACCUCAUACUUAUAAAUAAGAUUGCCUUCCAAUUCCUCCACCUCUCAUCUUCUCAAUAAAAAGUUGCACCUAGGUUUCGAACUUUUAGUGCACUUAUCGAUUUAAUUUCUAUACAAAUUGAUCAUUUCCAUGACUUCUGUCCAAGUUGAUGACCAGGUUCUGGUACAAGAGACUUUGUUCGUGAGGACAUUGACUCUGAAUAGGCCUCGCCAGCUGAACACCCUUUCCCUUGAAAUGAUCUCUCGUCUGUCAGAACUUUUCCAGGCCUAUGUGGACGACAACAAUGCCAAGUUGAUCAUUCUCAAGGGUAGAGGAAGAGCAUUUUGUGCUGGCGGCGAUCUAGUCGCCAUGCAUCGUCACUUUCUUGAAGGAAAUCUGAAAUAUGGUGAAAAUUUUGCUCAGAAGAUCCUCAACUUAACCUAUUUGAUAGCAACACACAGUAAACCCCAGGCAAGUAUGCAAUUAAUUUCCAUAAUGUCUUCAAAAUCUAGGUUUAAUAUGUUUUGGAUGCUAAGUGCUAAUACUUGUAUCAUCUCAACUGGUCAAUUAGUAUACCACAUGACAUAUAUCACAUCUUCCCCGAGAUGGUACAAAUAGUUCUAUCGUACUUUCUUUUGCAGACUUGAAGUUUUCCUAGAAUUCUUUCAAUACCAUCUUUUGUUAUUUAUACAUAUAUUUUGUAAAAUAGGUUUCAAUUAUGAAUGGGAUUGCAAUGGGAGCUGGGGUUUGUAUUUCAGUACACGGAAAAUUCCGUGUAGCAACAGAGAAUUCCAUCUUUGCAAUGCCAGAAAAUGCUCUGGGAUUGUUUCCUGAUGUCGGUCAUUUCUUGUCAAGACUUCCUGGAUUUUUUGGAGAGUAUUUGGGUCUUACAGGUACAAUGUUGGAUGGUGCUGAAAUGCUGGCUUGUGGUCUGGCAACUCACUUUGUUCCCUCAGCCAAAUUGUCUCUGUUGGAAAAAGCACUAAUUUCCAGAGCAGCUUCAGCUACAUCAAGCUGUGAUCUUGCUUUUAUUUCAGCAAUUAUAGACGAAUACUCCUUGCAGCAACCGGUUCUGAACGAGAAAAGUGCUUUACGCAAAAUGGAUGUCAUUGACAAGUGCUUUUCCAGACCAACAGUUGAAGAUAUCUUAAGUGCCCUUGAGAAGGAGGUUACUACAACAGAUGCAAAUAGGGCAGGUGAUGAAUGGCUAGCUUCAACGAUUCGAUCGCUGAAGAAGGCGUCGCCGAUGAGCUUGAAGAUUUGUUUGAGAUCCAUUAGAGAAGGAAGGGUGCAGGCAAUGGAUGAAUGUCUUGUCCGCGAGUACAGAAUAGCUUGCCAUGUUAUGAGAGGGCAAAUAAGCAAGGACUUCAGAGAAGGUUGCAGAGCUAUCUUGUGGGACAAGGACAAGAAACCAAAGUGGAAGCCUUCGAGUUUGGAUCUCAUCACUGAGCAUAUGGUUGACCACUGCUUCUCAAGGUUGGAUGGUGAUGAAGAAUUAAAGCUCCCUCAAAGAUGCAACUUGAAAGUAUUUGCCAAUGCCAAGCUUUGAGCUAAUUGUGAUUUUGGGGUGUUUCUCUAAACCUAUACCUAUCAAUAUUUCAAUUCCCUCCCUCAUACUAUUCAGAAUUUUCAUUAGUGUACACACCCCACCAUUUUCUCACCCCACCCCACCCCACACCAUACCACCCCAACUCUCUCAUUGGAAUAUGUAUGUACAACCAACUAUACAUAUAUAAUCUGUUAUAUACAUAUCUUGUGUUUUUUUUUGUUGUCAAAAUACAUAUCUUGUUUGUUAGUUCGGCUUAUAUAUAGGUACAUAUACAAUUGUAUAUGUUUAUUUCAUUCCGUUACAUAACAUGGCUAUGUUAGGGGUCUAUGUUGAAGAGUGUGUUGAGAGGUUCAAUUUUGUCGUUCAAUAAUAACUCUAUAUAAUUAAGGAUCCCCUCGUUAUAACCCUUCACUUUGUUGCAAUAUUGCUUAAAAAAUUUAAGCCUCUUCACAUAUUGCCAAUUGGUUGUUGCUUGGGGAAUCUGCCCAAUAUUUUUUUAAAAAAAUUUUAGGUGUCCAAAGACAUAUAUUCGAAGACUCGAGAAGAAACACAUAUUGGAGCUUGUAUUGUUUCGGCCCAACGAAAUAUGGGCUCUGAAAAUGAAAAGCUAGGUAGGGUUGAACUUCAGAAGAAAACUGAUUGGUCCAAAAUUUUAGGCUUUGGGUUUGGGUGACCGAAGCAGAUUUUGGCCGCACCAGUUUCUCAAGUAAACGAUUAAAAUAAAAACAAAACAAAACGAUGUUUCUUCCCAACCGCCGGAGCUUAGAGACAAGCUCACAAUGUCUACUUUUGAGCCUUCUGAUAGUGUCAAUGUGUCAUGGCAAUGCUCAUCGAUUGUGAAGAAGAACAAGAAGAACAACAGCAAACCAAUGGUCGAACUCCAAUGCCUAAGUGAAGGAAGUUGAGGUUCCACUCCGAAACCAAUUGGUAAUAGAGGGAGUAAUCCGACUUCUUAUAAGCUGUUGCUAGGUUUCUUAACUUUCAAAUAUGAGACUUUUUAUCUUCACCUUCUCACACGCCCCCGCAUGUGUGGCGAAUUUUCAAGCCUAACACGUGGACAACACAUUUUGGGUGAUGUGGAGCACGUGUUGUAAUGACCCAAACCUAAAAUUCAUAUUUAAUUAGUAAUUUAUUAUGCGAAAAGACAAUUUUGCCCUUUGACUAAAUUAUGAACUCAAAGUUGACUUUUUGACCGAAAAGGAAUUUGACAAUUCCACAUACGCCGUUGCGUAGAGCACGAUGACACGAAGUGGACUCGAAUCGGAAUUUUAACGAAGAAAAUACGAUUAAAAUAUCACGAGGGGCAAAAUAGUAAAUUGGAUUGUGCCGACAUUUGUCAGGUGUCGGAUACGCACAGGGUCUGACUCGGAUUCCAAAGCGGAAUUUGGAUCGGGUUCUGUCACGUGUGGCCGUUGAGCUUUCACACGUGGGCAACCUCUUUGAUAACAUGAAGGAAGUUGAGAUUCUACCCCAAAACCAAUUGGCUAUUGGGGGAGUAACUCAACUCCUUAUAAGCCCUUACUAGGUUUCUCAACUUUCCAGCGUGGGACUUUUUACCUUCACAUUCUCACACUAAGCGCCUAGAAAUCUUGCCUUCUCAAUCUUUGAAUAAGAGGGACGAAAGAGAAGCGGGUACAAGAAAGAGGGUUUUCAGCGUGAGCAAUUUCAAAGGGGUUAUUUUUCCCUAUUUGUACGGAGUUAUGGUCGUCCCAAGGCGAUCAUCAAGUUAGGUAGCAUCUUGGGGUUUUUGCAGAAAAUUUGUUGGUUUUUGUUUUUACGUUUGUUGAAGUUCCCUUUUUGGUUGUUGUUCUUAUAAUAAUGCACUGUCCCAAUUGUUUGAUCAUUUUGGAGAGUUUGUUUAUUUAUUUUUAAUUCAGUAAAGUUGCGUUCUAUAGAAACAGAUUGUUGAUUACAUUGGGAGAAGGGAUUGUGUGGCUUUUAAUAUCUAUGUUUUUCCUAAAGUUGGGUUUCUACGUGCAAGAUUGUUAAGGUUGAGUAUUAAUUUAAAACGACCCCUAAGAAUUGAGUAUUAGAGAGAACUUUACAGAGAUGUCCUACAUAAGAAUGUCCAGGAAUAGUCAAAGAGAAUUCAUCAAUUUAUUAGUUUAUCUUAUCUUCUUUUCUUUAAGUGUAUUAUUAGAUGAGCGAUGACGUAAUUAUCAUUAGUAGGCUUGAAAGGGCUAAAUUAAAUUUUUGAAUAAUAAAAUAACAACUCACCUAGGUUAUAGCCCCAAUUAGUCCCUUCUUGGGACCGUCCUUGCCUAAAUGUGGAGGAGGAUUAGUCCAAUCCCAAGUUCGGCUCUUCAUUAGUGGUCCAUUGUAAGUCUUUUUCUUUCGUAUGAAAAAAGCAAACAAAUUACAGUUUGACGUGUGUGUAGAACAUUUCAAUCUUAAGUUAAGCUCUUCAUUAGUCUCCCCUGGUCCAUUGUAAACCUUUUUCCUUCGUACGAAAAAAAACAAACAAAUUACAGUUUGAUGUGUAUGUAGAAUAUCUCAAUCUUAAGUUAAGCUGUUCAUUAGUCUCCCAUACUCCAUUGUAAGAAAAAAAAAACAAAUAGUUCUGUCUUCUGAUGACCAAACCCCGUUUAAAUUGUCCUUCAAGUUUAAAGCACAAUUUAACCACGUUCUGCUAUUUUUUUCUUUUCUUCCCGUCUGUUCUCUGCCUAUGCUGCUUAUUUACGAACGGAACACAAAGGCAGGCAAGUGUGUGAACAAUUUUUUUUCUGCCAAGUGUCAAUUUAUGCAUUGAUGCUGGCCCAGCCUAGUAGUAGUUCCUCCCCAACCCACACCACAUCUACUGUCAAUUAAUUUUGGGCCGAAUUCUUAAAUUCUGUCACACAAAAAAAAAGCAAGUUGUACAAGUUUACAUUUUCAAUCAUUCAACAAUAUCUGUACUGUCAAUUAAUUUUGGGCCGAAUUCUCAAAUUCUGUCAUAAUAUUUGCAUCAUUUUAAUUGUCAAUGUUUAAAAAAAAAUCAUGCCAAAAUGAAACGGUAAAAUAUUUUUCUGUUGUUUCUAUUGUAAGUUGAAAUGGUAUAAAUAGGUUUCAAACUUUCGUUGCACUUAUCGAUUUAAUUUCUAUACAUCAAUUAAUCAUUUUCCAUGGCUUCUUUCCAACUUGAUGACCAGGUUCUGAUACAGGAGACUUUGUUUGUGAGGAUAUUGACCCUAAACAGGCCUCGCCAGCUGAACGCCCUUUCCCUUGAAAUGCUCUCUCGGCUGUCACAACUUUUCUUGGCCUAUGAGGACGAUGCCAAUGCCAAGUUGAUCAUUCUCAAGGGUAAAGGAAGAGCAUUUUGUGCUGGCGGUGAUGUAGCCACCGUUCAUAUCGUCGUUUUCUUGAAGGAAAUCUGAAAUUUGGUGAAAAACUUGGUGAGAAGCUGCUCACCUUAACCUACUUGGUAGCAACAUGCAGCAAACCCCAGGCAAGUCUGAAAUUAAUUUCCAUAAUGUCUUCAAAAUCUAGGUUUAAUAUUUUUUUUGGGAUACUUUUGCUGAUAUUUGUAUCAUCUCAACUGGUGAAUUAGUGUACUGUAUGGCAUACGUCACAUCUGCCCAAUCGAGAUUUCGUAUAAUUAGUUUUAUCGUACUUUCUUUUGUUAGGCUCGAAGUUUUCGUACAAUUUCUUUCACUACCAUCUUUUGUUAUUUAUAUUUAUAUUUUUUUGAAACAGGUUUCAAUUCUGAAUGGGAUUGUCAUGGGAGGUGGGGUUGGUAUUUCAGUAAAUGGCAAAUUCCGUGUAGCAACAGAGAAUUCGAACUUUGCAAUGCCAGAAAAUUCUCUGGGAUUGUUUCCUGACGUGGGCUCCUCUUAUUUCUUGUCAAGACUUCCCGGAUUUUUUGGAGAGUAUUUGGGUCUCACAGGUGCAAGGUUGGAUGGUGCUGAAAUGCUUGCUUGUGGUCUGGCAACUCACCUUGUCCCCUCAGCCAAAUUGUCCCUUUUGGAAAAAGCUCUAAUUUCCAGAGCAGCUUCAGCUACUUCAUCAAGCUGUGGUCUUGCUUUUAUUUCAGCAAUUAUAGACGAAUACUCCUUGCAGCAACCAGCUCUGAACGAGAAAAGUGCUUUACACAAAAUGGAUGUCAUUGACAAGUGCUUUUCCAGACCAACAGUUGAAGAUAUCUUAAGUGCCCUUGAGAAGGAGAUUACUACAACAGAUGCAAACAAGGCAGGUGAUGAAUGGCUAGCUUCAACAGUUCGAUCGCUGAACAAGGCGUCGCCGAUGAGCUUGAAGAUUUGUUUGCGAUCCAUUAGAGAAGGAAGGGUGCAGGCAAUUGCCGAAUGCCUUAUCCGCGAGUACAGAAUAGAUUGUCCUGUUAUGAGAGGGCAAAUAAGCAAGGACUUCAGAGAAGGUUGCAGAGCUAUCUUGUGGGACAAGGACAAGAAACCAAAGUGGAAGCCUUCUAGUUUGGAGCUCAUCACUGAGCAUAUGGUUGACCACUACUUCUCUAGGUUGGAUGGUGAUGAAGAAUUAAAGCUCCCUCGAAGAUGCAACUUGAACGUAUUUCCCAAUGCCAAGCUUUGAGCUAAUUGUGAUUUUGGGGUGUUUCUACCUAUACCUAUCAAAUAUAAGAUCAGUAAUAUACAAGCAAAUGUUCUUACCAUUGAGCUAUGGACCCGAUGGCCACCACCCCAACUUUCUCAAUGGACUAUAUAUGUGCAACCAACUUAUCAAUAAAAUACAUAUGCAAUGUGUUUUAUACAUAUCUUGUUUAAUAAAUAAAAAAAAUACACCUCCUAAAAUUCUAGCAUUUUCAAUACCAUCUUUUGUUAUUUAUAUAUAUUUUUCAAACAGGUUUCAAUUCUGAAUGGGAUUGCCAUGGGAGGUGGGGUUGGUAUUUUAGUACAUGGCAAAUUCCGUGUAGCAACGGAGAAUUCGAUCUUUGCAAUGCCAGAAAAUGCUCUGGGAUUGUUUCCUUAUGUGGGUGCCUCUUAUUUCUUGUCAAGACUUCCUGGAUUUUUCAGAGAGUAUUUGGGUUUUAUUGUGCAAGCACGGGUGGAACUACUUGUGGGAUACAUUGGGCUAUAGCCCAGUUAGCUUUUUGGAAAAGAAAAUAUUAAACCUAGAUAGUUCAUUGAUUGAGGCUAUCAUCUUGUGACUUCUUGGCAGUUUCUCACGUAAAGAAGAUUGCAAGUUUGAAGUCCCACAUAAAGAAAAAAAAAAUCAUAAUAUCCUAAUUGGUCCCACAUAAUGAAGUAUCCUCGAUUAUAAUAAAAUAUGUCAAAAUAAAAAAUAUACAUGUGAAACUUAGCCUAGCAGCGGUUCCCAAAAAAUACAUGUUGCUUUUUGUGUUCUUUGUUACGAAAGUCUCAUAGGUAAAAUUCUUAUACCUAAAUCUCCAAUUUUAAUAUUUUCAUUGAUUUGUCUCUAUAAGAGAAAGAUUUUCUCAAUGAAAUUCAUUAGUUUUACGAAUAAGAUGAAACGAAAAAGUCACAAACUAUUUCAAGAUUAGCAACAAGAUGGAUUCAUAUGACAAUAACAAAAUAUUUCAAUUCUCUCAAGGAUCUCAGGGCACAACUUCAAUAGGUACACUUUUAAUUAUGUUGUUAAACAUAUAUUCAUUUUAAUAAUAUUUUUUUUAUUGCAUCUAAUAUAUAUAUAUAUAUAUGUUUUAUGUUAAUUCUUAUUGGAAAUUAGUCAAUGUAGUUAUGAAUUGCAUGAUUUAUAUGAUUUAAUGUAUACUUUUGUUUUUGUCAAAAUUUUUAGCUAGCCCACCCGUUAAAAAAUUCAUAGUUCCGCCAUUGGGUCCAAGGUUGGAUGGUGCUGAGAUGCUUGCUUGUGGUCUAGCAACUAACUUUGUUCCCUCAGCCAAAUUGCCUCUAUUGGAAAAAGCUCUAAUUUCCAGAGCAGCUUCAGCUACUUCAUCUAGCCGUGAUCUUGCUUCUAUCUCAGCAAUUAUAGACGAAUACUUGCUGCAGCAACCGGCUCUGAAUGAGAAAAGUGCUUUUCACAAAAUGGAUGUCAUUGCCAAGUGCUUUUCCAGACCAACAGUUGAACAAAUCUUAAGUGCCCUUGAGAUGGAGGCUACUACAACAGAUACAAACAGAGCAGAUGGUUAGCUUCGACGAUUCGUUCGCUAAACAAGGCUUCGCCGAUGAGCUUGAUGAUUUGUUUGAGAUCCAUUAGAGAAGGAAGGGUGCAGGCAAUUGAUGAAUCCUUGUCCGCGAGAGUACAGAAUAACUUGUCAUGUUCUGCGAGGGCAAAUCAGCAAGGACUUCAGAGAAGGUUGCAGAGCUAUCUUGUGGGACAAGGAUAAGAAACCAGAGUGGAAGCCUUCUAGUUUGGAGCUCAUCACGGAUCAUAUGGUUGACCAAUGCUUCUCUAGGUUGGAUGGUGAUGAAGAAUUAAAGCUCCCUCAAAGAUCCAACUUGCCUGUAUUUGCCAAUGCCAAGCUUUGAGCUAAUUAUGAUUUUGGGGUGUUUCUAUACUCUAUACCUAUCAAUAUUUCAAUUCCCUCCCUAAUGUUAUUCCAAUUUUAUUAGUCUACCCCUCAACAUUUUCUCAUUCCACACCACACCACCCUAACUUUUUUUUCCUCUGUCAAAGUUUGAAAGGGGAAGGGGAAGAACUAAUCUGUAAGCAA